Molecule: non-coding RNA, 628 nt
Organism: Paramuricea clavata
Lineage: Eukaryota; Metazoa; Cnidaria; Anthozoa; Malacalcyonacea; Plexauridae
Source: the annotation of a GenBank genome assembly
GCUACACAAUGUCUUACACCAGUACUUGUCCAAUUACCUAUUUUAUACAAAAAAAAACACAACAAAAAAACCCUCCAAAAAUGACUGUAUUCAAUAGAUUAAUAUUUAUAACCCAUAUGUAGAUUGCGACAUGUGCCCAGCGUCUCCCAUAUAUAUCCCAGGGCUUUUGGGGUGAAGACUCAGGGUAUGUCGGUGAGCACUCUGUUCAUUGUUAUAUCAGUAAACCUUGGUUGAUGUUCUAUAAUCUCAUUAGCUUGCAAACUAUUUUUUUCCUCUUCUCUAUGUGUGCAAACAAUUUAUUUGCACUUUUUUGUCUUUGCAUGCAAACAAUUUUUUUAAGAAUUUUCCAUUCCCCCCUCCAAAAAAAUAAUGGUCCGUCCCUGAACUGAAUACGUAGUUGACCGAACCGCAGGUUCGAUUCCUGCCAGGGGACCUAUAGUUUUCGCAACUUCAUCUGGUUAGGUCAAGAAAUGUGUCAGAAAUUUGCGUUCGAAAAUACCAUCUACAAAAAACUCAUCUAGUAUUAGUUCUAUUGAAGGAGAUGCCCAAAAAUCUCGAAACAUGUAUUUCCCUUUCAUUCCAAACAGAUCCUUCAGGCAUGAUCGACAGCUCUACAUUUCGAGAUGAU